GGAUAAUACAAACAAUCUUAAAAUUCCUAGGAAACCUCAAAAGACUUCAAGUAACCAAAUCAUUAUUGAAUAAAAAGGAUACAGCUGGAGCCAUCACACUAACUCACCUCAGAAACUUCAAGACCUGACUACCUGACUAGAAAGGCUAUACCAUGAACAUGCUGAUAAAACUACCAGCUGGAAACACACACACUACGUUUCAUAAAAAGGAUCGAUGAUUCAGUAAGUAGAAACAAAAGCACAAAAAGCAGAGCCCGGAUCACGAGGUCAGGAGAUGGAGACCAUCCUGGCUAACACGGUGAAACCCCGUCUCUACUAAAAACACAAAAAUUAGCUGGGCGUGGUGGCGGGUGCCUGUGGUCCCAGCUACUCGGGAGGCUGAGGCAGGAGAAUGGUGCGAACCUGGGAGGCGGAGUUUGCAGUGAGUGGAGAUUGCACCACUGCACUCCAGCCUGGGCAACAGAGCGAGACUCUGUCUCAAAAAACAAACAAACAAACAACAACAACAACAACAACAAAAAGCAGAGCCAAGAAUCGCGGGGAAUUUAUUCCCAGGCCUUGAAAUCCAAUCAAGAAGUUCCCAGUAUUUUCCUGACUGGGUUUCAGAGCUGCCUUAGCCUAGUGAUUCCUUUCUACCUUCCAUUCUCCCCUUUUGCAAUGGUCAUGUUUAUAGUAGUUUAGGAUUAUUAUCAUAUACGGGCCCCACCACCCACUCUCUCUCUAGGUUCUCAAGCUCACAGAUGGGGAGGAAUUUUUCUCUAGGAGAAUAAUUCACCCAGUAGCCUCAUCCAUGCCUUGACUUAAUGUAGACAGAAGAUGAGAUGUUGGUCUCUAGUCAGUGCAAGUGUUUUCCCCUUGGAAGGCACAUGAAUCAUUGGGGCCAGAGGGCAGAUUGUUUCCAAGCAAAGGAUAAGAUAGCCUUCAUGAUUCCUAUAGUCUGGCUGUAUAAAGUCCACUCCUUGAGUGUGAGUGGGACCUUGUAAUUUGCUUCUAGCCAAGAGAAUAUGUUAAAGAUCAUAGGACUUUGCAGAUGUAAUUAAAGUCCCAAAUCAGUUGAUUUUGAGUUCAUCAAAAUCAGGGAGACCUUAUUUCAGUGGGCCUGACUUAAUCAGGUAAAAGGACUUUUAAAAGGUACUGGGCCUUCCCUUAAAACAAAAGACUUCCUUUGCCAGCUUGAUGAGACAAGUGUCGUGUUGAAAAGGAACCCACAACAAGCACCUGCAGAAUGCCUCUAGGAACUGUCUGUGAUCUCAGGACCUGAGAGCUGCCUCUAGCUGACAGCCAGCAAAAAGCCACAUGGAAAGUAUUUAUACCAACAACUGAAAUGAACUUGGAUAAAAAUGGGUUUUUCCCCAGUUAAGCCUCCAGAUGAGAAUGCAACCCAUGCCUGGACUGAACCCUGGCAAGACUCUGAAUAGUGGAUCCAGCUCACCUGUGCCUAUACCCAGACCCAUGGAAACUGUAAAAUAUUAUGUAUAUUGUGUUUUAAACCCUGGAGGUUGCAGUAAUUUGUUAUACAGCAAAGAAAAACAAUACAUAGUUGUUUUUUGAAAUGUUGUAACUCUGAAAUAAUAAAAUGAAGAAUGCACUCUAAUUAUUAAAAUUUUCUUAAGAUGGCAAGAGAAUGCAUUAAUCAAAUAAGAAGGUAUACAAAAUUCAAAAAUAACCAAAGGGUGGCAAAUUGUAGGUAAAUCAGUCAUUAGAAAACUGAGCAGAAGUCAAAAUUAUUAUUAAGCAAAAUUGGUUUAUAGGAAAUAGGACUGUGUCAAUAGAUGACAACAGCAUGUGAUUAAUGGCUAACUAAAUAAUAAUUGUCAAUGAGACUAGUGGAGAUUCCCAAGACAGAGCGUUAAUGUGGCCAAAGUACUGCAGGAAGAGAGAUAGAGAAGUUGGCCCCAGCAUCUAGAUGUUCAGGCCUUAAGGAUGAUACAAGCCUCAAUGGCCUUAGAAGAGGGAGGAACAAUUCUAGACAGAGGAACACACCUAAGAAGUGUCACAUUUCCAAGUUUAUUCUUACAUUUUGAUUUGUUUACAUAUUCCCUGAAACAACUUUGCAAUUUUUCAAACUAGUACUACUUUAAAAAAUUAUCUGUUUCUUUAUGGGUGUGCAUAUGUGUGUGAUGUGUGUGUGUGUGCAUAUUCACAUACAUAUAUAGGUGCAUUUGGGUGUAAAGUUGCAAACCUUUGAGGUUUAUUGAAUUUAAUCAUGUGAGUGUGUACUUGCCUGUAUAUUUAAAAACUGGAUAAAUUGUGGUAAAUUGCUUGUCAUAAAUGUCGUUCUACUUUUCCUUACGUUCAACAUGAAAUUCAAGAAGCUUAUAAAAUGUCUGGGAAACUAGUAUAGUCUAAGUGGAUUUCCCUUGCUUUGAUUUCAGUGAAAUAGCCAGGUGUCUAUUUUAAGCUGAAUUUGUGCUUUAAGAAAAAGAAAAGAAAUAGUGCUAAGGAAUUCUCAUUGGCCCAGGAGGUUAGAAAGAGAUAUUAAUUCUACCUCUACAAAUCAUCAAUUUGAUUCGGUCCAGGUUGGCAAUUUCUCAGAACAUCUGUCUGAUCACUCUUUAGUGGUCAGUAAAUGAGGAAAUCCAGAUGUUCUUAGUUUAGUAGAGAUCCAUCAUCUGAAAUGUCCCCAAAGUGCCUGUAAGCCCCUAUGUAUGUAGAGGUCAUAUUCAAGUGGACGAGGGAACUCUGAGAAUCUUUUUUCCCAGGUAUGGCUUCUAAGUGAUGGACAUGCUGUCUUAGCACCUUCCUUACCUGGUCAAGUGGAGAGAACCCUUAACCCUACUUCUCAGACCACACCCCUGAACCACUCUUCGGAGGUGGGGAGCACAAUUUACAUGUGCAGCUACCUGCCCUGAUGGAAAUCAGUUGAGUAGGGAGUCUGGGAAAUGAACCUUUGUUUUUGUUCAUACAGCUCUACCAACCCAAGCGUUUAUGAGUAUCUUUCUGUGUUCUCUUCUGCCAAGGAAAUGCUUUCUUCUGAGAAUAUUUUCUCCUUAAUGUUGAUCUCAUACUAUGAAGGAGAUUUACGGUAAAUGUUUCUAACAGAAGGUCAGUUGUAGACAGAUAUUAAAAUGUAUUAGUCUAAAAUUGCCAUUUUUUAAUGAAAAGCAGAUUUUCUUUACCAUCAUUUUCUAUGACUAAAAUACAGAAAAGGCAAAUGACUUAGAGUCGCUGAAAUACAUACUGAUAAGUGGUCUAGGAGGUUUGAAUAUAAAGUAAUAAUUCCAAUAUGGGAGUCCAGCAUUUAGAAAUACCAGUGCCUGCAUAAAUACCAAUGUGAAAAAUUCUAAAAUUGUCACUCUUUAAAAAUUAUUAUUCUUAGCCUUGUAAUACAGAGGUCAGCUUAGUGAUGUUCUGUAAAGGAGAUUGGAAAGGGAUGGUGCUUUAAGAUACUUAUGACAUUUAACCAAAUAUACGUCAUGCUAAUAUUAUUUUGUUUUGGGAGGCCUUAAAUACAUUGCUCACGAUGAAAGUAUUUAGGGGUGCUUCUUGGGUAUUUGCAGCACUAUGUGGAUAUUUUCUCAUAUUUAGCUCAUUUUGGAGUAACCCUUUGAUGGAAACAUUACCCUUCAGAAGUUCUUUUUAAAUCAGAGCAGCAGCAGUCUAUAGAGUACACACAUCUAUGAUGGCUUCAGUGGUACUAGGUGAUGAGAAUUGUUCAGCUCAAUUAUAAUCUUAGGGGACCACGCUUGUCUAGGCAGUCCAUCAUUGACUGAAAUGCUGUCAUGCAGCAUAUGGCUAUAUAUACAUGUAUCUUUCAUUUAUCCAAAUAGUGUUUUCACAAGUAUUGUUUUAUUGUUCUAUACUUUAGUCUGUAUACUUUAAACUUAGCUACUCAGUAUGAAAUAUAUUAGGAUUAUUAAAACAUUGUUUUAGAGCAACUAAUCCACCUCACUUUUGCCAGGCUUCUGGCUCCAACUGAGAAGGGCAGAGCUGUAUGAAAGUGAAUACGUUUAAAUUGUGUAGACCAGUGCUAAGUGAAAAGUAUGAGACUCCCAGAUUUCAAGCUCUCUGACUCUUUGGUAAUCAUUUCUUAUCCUUUGCGUAAUUCAUCAAAGCUUUUAAAUAAAGGAAUUUUCCAGUUUUAUUUAAACUGGUAUCUUUUUUAUUCCUGUGGUAUAAUUCAAGGGGAAGUCAGGAAUGAUUCCUCAAAAGAACAUGAUUUGAAAAACAAGCAGAAUAUUUAGUGCCAUUAAAGCCACUUCCAUAAAAUUUCAGGUUUAAGAGGGUUUGAGGAAGCAUCUGUAAAAAUCUUUUGCCGUCCCUUGCUAUUAUUCAAUCUUAGCUUGAAGAUAUUACACAGAAAGGAAGGAUUAUCCUUUUUAUUGAAAACUUCUUUUUCUCCAGCCACAUACGGUCAUUUCAUUUGCCAAGAGAAUAUGUCAUCAUAAAGAAAUACCACAAAGAAUGAACAUUUGAAUUGCAAAUGCUUAAAGCAAAAUGUGUAGAUUUUGUUUGAAAUAUCAAACAUUUGGAUGAGGGGCCACUGACUUAAUGAUUGAUUCCCAAAGGUGUUCAAGAGUAAUUUUUGAGAAAAAAAAAUAAA
Long non-coding RNA from Gorilla gorilla gorilla (western lowland gorilla), 4543 nucleotides. RefSeq lists it as uncharacterized. The transcript has 2 exons. The record is from RefSeq and is a predicted model, not a curated record. Lineage: Eukaryota; Metazoa; Chordata; Mammalia; Primates; Hominidae.